This 844-nucleotide ribosomal RNA is filed under the name uncultured Enterobacter sp. Its description in RNAcentral is "partial 16S ribosomal RNA". It matches the Rfam family "Bacterial small subunit ribosomal RNA". The record is from RNAcentral. Lineage: Bacteria; Pseudomonadati; Pseudomonadota; Gammaproteobacteria; Enterobacterales; Enterobacteriaceae.
AGAGUUUGAUCAUGGCUCAGAUUGAACGCUGGCGGCAGGCCUAACACAUGCAAGUCGAACGGUAGCACAGAGAGCUUGCUCUCGGGUGACGAGUGGCGGACGGGUGAGUAAUGUCUGGGAAACUGCCUGAUGGAGGGGGAUAACUACUGGAAACGGUAGCUAAUACCGCAUAACGUCGCAAGACCAAAGAGGGGGACCUUCGGGCCUCUUGCCAUCAGAUGUGCCCAGAUGGGAUUAGCUAGUAGGUGGGGUAACGGCUCACCUAGGCGACGAUCCCUAGCUGGUCUGAGAGGAUGACCAGCCACACUGGAACUGAGACACGGUCCAGACUCCUACGGGAGGCAGCAGUGGGGAAUAUUGCACAAUGGGCGCAAGCCUGAUGCANCCAUGCCGCGUGUAUGNANAAGGCCUUCGGGUUGUAAAGUACUUUCAGCGGGGAGGAAGGUGUUGAGGUUAAUAACCUCANNAAUUGACGGGAANUCAAAGGNGNNNNNCAGNGAUAAACUGGAGGAAGGUGGGGANGANGNCAAGUCAUCAUGGCCCUUACGAGUNGGGCUACACACGUGCUACAAUGGCAUAUACAAAGAGAAGCGACCUCGCGAGAGCAAGCGGACCUCAUAAAGUAUGUCGUAGUCCGGAUCGGAGUCUGCAACUCGACUCCGUGAAGUCGGAAUCGCUAGUAAUCGUGGAUCAGAAUGCCACGGUGAAUACGUUCCCGGGCCUUGUACACACCGCCCGUCACACCAUGGGAGUGGGUUGCAAAAGAAGUAGGUAGCUUAACCUUCGGGAGGGCGCUUACCACUUUGUGAUUCAUGACUGGGGUGAAGUCGUAACAAANNUAACC